Molecule: non-coding RNA, 963 nt
Organism: Equus caballus (horse)
Lineage: Eukaryota; Metazoa; Chordata; Mammalia; Perissodactyla; Equidae
Source: RefSeq, a predicted model, not a curated record
UAUCUCUUCCGCAAAGGCUGUACACAAGCCUUGAUGUUUAUUUGGUGACGUCACCUUCCUAUUUCUCCGUUUCAGGUUGCCCUGAUGUUCGUUUUAAUCUAGUUUUGCCUGUAUCACCAUGUUGAGGCAAAGGAAAGGACUGUGCAAUUUGGGACUUUGUAUUCCUCCGUGGGAUUUAGCAUUGACCAUGAAAACAGAAUAUGAAGUCAGAAUCUUCAUGGGAAACGUGUUCAGAAGAAAGAACAGUGAGCCAGGAAGCUUGGAGGUUUGGGCUCUAGCCGCAGCUUUCCCAUGGACAUGUCAUAUAUGUCCCAGAAAGUCAUUCAGACUUUGUAGCACCCAGUUUCUUUUUCUGUUAAUCAUCGAGUGAAUUGGAUGACCUCUCCCCGCCAAUUCUAUAAUUCUAAAUGUCAUACGUAUGUUUGCAUGAAUCCACAAGUCACUAAAACCUAGCAGAUUUCAGAAAAUUAUUUAAUAAACAAAAUUUCUCAUCAGCAGCUCAAGAGAUCUUGGAACUGACUCCCAAAACAUCGGAUAAUCAUGUUUAGGCAAAGUCUUCAAACCCAAAGAGAAGAUCUCGGGAUUGUUGAGCGUCUUUUCACCACCAUUCAUACCACGCAGAAGACAGGCUGUCAGUUCCGAGCUCACACUCACUCUGCCCCGAGGGCUCAGAGCAUUGGAACAUCUCUCAUUAAUUGGGGGGGCAGGGGGGGGUGCUUAAUAUACAGAAUAUGGUAUUGCCUCUUUCACGAUGAAAUGAAAUCUAAGAGCACCUUUCAGUUCUAUAACAUUUUCAGCAUCUCAAAAUGCUUUGAGAAUAGCUUCAGCUUUUUUUUUUUUUUCUCAUUUCUGAUUUGAUCCAUGUAAUGACUUUGUAAAGCAGGCGAGGCCCAGGAAUUAUUGUGCCCAUUUACAAAGCAAUAUGCUGGGGGCAAAGAAAUAAAAUAACUUGGUUACCUCUUA